ACGCUCAGGCCUCUCCUCAAAUCCUCGAACUAAUCUUUCGCCUUUUACUAAAGAUUACCGUGGGGAGGGGCAUUCCAAUGAGCCUAUAGGCCAAUUUUUGAAAGGUCCUGUCCGUUUGGGCGGGG
This 125-nucleotide small nuclear RNA is filed under the name Dermacentor andersoni. RNAcentral's name for it is "U5 spliceosomal RNA". It matches the Rfam family "U5 spliceosomal RNA". Rfam says of the family: U5 RNA is a component of both types of known spliceosome. Lineage: Eukaryota; Metazoa; Arthropoda; Arachnida; Ixodida; Ixodidae. The record is from RNAcentral.